GACGAACGCUGGCGGCGUGCUUAACACAUGCAAGUCGAACGGAAAGGCCCUGCUUUUGUGGGGUGCUCGAGUGGCGAACGGGUGAGUAACACGUGAGUAACCUGCACUUGACUUUGGGAUAACUUCAGGAAACUGGGGCUAAUACCGGAUAGGAGCUCCUGAUGCAUGGUGGGGGUUGGAAAGUUUCGGCGGUUGGGGAUGGACUCGCGGCUUAUCAGCUUGUUGGUGGGGUAGUGGCUUACCAAGGCUUUGACGGGUAGCCGGCCUGAGAGGGUGACCGGCCACAUGGGGACUGAGAUACGGCCCAGACUCCUACGGGAGGCAGCAGUGGAGAAUAUUGCACAAUGGGCGGAAGCCUGAUGCAGCAACGCCGCGUGCGGGAUGACGGCCUUCUGGUUGUAAACCGCUUUCGCCUGUGACGAAGCGUGAGUGACGGUAAUGGGUAAAGAAGCACCGGCUAACUACGUG
RNAcentral lists this ribosomal RNA (468 nucleotides) under uncultured bacterium. Its description in RNAcentral is "partial 16S ribosomal RNA". It matches the Rfam family "Bacterial small subunit ribosomal RNA", at positions 28 to 507 of the family's 1533-position model. The record is from RNAcentral.